This 355-nucleotide ribosomal RNA is filed under the name uncultured bacterium. RNAcentral's name for it is "partial 16S ribosomal RNA". It matches the Rfam family "Bacterial small subunit ribosomal RNA", at positions 338 to 684 of the family's 1533-position model. The record is from RNAcentral.
CCUACGGGAGGCUGCAGUAGGGAAUCUUCCACAAUGAGCGAAAGCCUGAUGGAGCAACGCCGCGUGGGUGAAGAAGGUCUUCGGAUCGUAAAACGCUGUUGUUAGAGAAGAAAGUGCGUGAGAGUAACUGUUAACGUUUCGACGGUACCUAACCAGAAAGCGACGGCUAACUAGGUGCCAGCAGCCGCGGUAAUACGAAGGUGGCAAGCGUUAUCCGGAUAUAUUGGGCGUAAAGGGAACGCAGGCGGUCUUUUAAGUCUGAAGUGAAAGCCUUCGGCUUAACCGGAGUAGUGCAUUGGAAUCUGGGCGAGUUGAGUGCAGAAAAGGGGAGGGGGACUCCAUGUUGAGGGGGUGA